CGUGGCCACAUCCCUCUUGCUGCCAGAGAAACCCCAUGGCCAGGCUGAGUAACCCCAUGCCCAGGGCAGGGGAGUGAGCUCAGCUCUGGGUCGCAUUCAGCACUGCACCAGCCCUUUGUACAGCAUGCGUCCACAGGUGCACCGGGGAAGGCGGUGAUGUGCUGAUGGCUGUGGGGCUGGAAGAAGGCACAGUGAUCGCUAUAGGGCCACGGGGGGACCUGCAGCUGUCCUGUGCAGGACUCACCGCAGCACAGGAUCUGCUGGUGUCAGCUGCCAAAGGUUCCAUCACGGAGGGGGCUGUGCCCGGAGGAAGGCACGCAAGGAGAGCUGCAUCCCUGUGGGGGUGCUGCCUGCUGCCCCCAGCUUGGACUCCCGCUUCCGCUUGGAGCCCUUUGCACGGCCGCUCUGCACCCCACGCUGAGUCUCCCGUGCCUUCAG
RNAcentral lists this long non-coding RNA (438 nucleotides) under Gallus gallus (chicken). The record is from RNAcentral. Lineage: Eukaryota; Metazoa; Chordata; Aves; Galliformes; Phasianidae.